AUUGAACGCUGGCGGCAGGCCUAACACAUGCAAGUCGAGCGAGCGGCGGACGGGUGAGUAAUGUAUGGGGACUGCCCGAUCGAGGGGGAUAACUACUGGAAACGGUGGCUAAUACCGCAUACUAUCGGAUAACCCAUAUGGGAUUAGCGAGUAGGUGGGGUAAAGGCUCACCUAGGCGACGAUCUCUCGCUGGUCUGAGAGGCUGAUGGGCCACACGGGGACUGAGACACGGCCCAGACCCCUACGGGGGCAGAAGUGGGGAUUAUUGCCCAAUGGGCGAAAGCUUGCGGCAGCCAGGCCGCGUGUAUGAAGAAGGCCUUAGGGUUGUAAAGUACUUUCAGCGGGGAGGCGUUACCCGCAGAAGAAGCACCGGCUAACUCCGUGCCAGCAGCCGCGGUAAUUC
This 403-nucleotide ribosomal RNA is filed under the name uncultured bacterium. Its description in RNAcentral is "partial 16S ribosomal RNA". It matches the Rfam family "Bacterial small subunit ribosomal RNA", at positions 29 to 526 of the family's 1533-position model. The record is from RNAcentral.